This 2925-nucleotide ribosomal RNA is filed under the name Escherichia coli. RNAcentral's name for it is "23S ribosomal RNA". It matches the Rfam family "Bacterial large subunit ribosomal RNA". The record is from RNAcentral. Lineage: Bacteria; Pseudomonadati; Pseudomonadota; Gammaproteobacteria; Enterobacterales; Enterobacteriaceae.
GGGUUGUGAGGUUAAGCGACUAAGCGUACACGGUGGAUGCCCUGGCAGUCAGAGGCGAUGAAGGACGUGCUAAUCUGCGAUAAGCGUCGGUAAGGUGAUAUGAACCGUUAUAACCGGCGAUUUCCGAAUGGGGAAACCCAGUGUGAUUCGUCACACUAUCAUUAACUGAAUCCAUAGGUUAAUGAGGCGAACCGGGGGAACUGAAACAUCUAAGUACCCCGAGGAAAAGAAAUCAACCGAGAUUCCCCCAGUAGCGGCGAGCGAACGGGGAGGAGCCCAGAGCCUGAAUCAGUGUGUGUGUUAGUGGAAGCGUCUGGAAAGGCGCGCGAUACAGGGUGACAGCCCCGUACACAAAAAUGCACAUAUUGUGAGCUCGAUGAGUAGGGCGGGACACGUGGUAUCCUGUCUGAAUAUGGGGGGACCAUCCUCCAAGGCUAAAUACUCCUGACUGACCGAUAGUGAACCAGUACCGUGAGGGAAAGGCGAAAAGAACCCCGGCGAGGGGAGUGAAAAAGAACCUGAAACCGUGUACGUACAAGCAGUGGGAGCACGCUUAGGCGUGUGACUGCGUACCUUUUGUAUAAUGGGUCAGCGACUUAUAUUCUGUAGCAAGGUUAACCGAAUAGGGGAGCCGAAGGGAAACCGAGUCUUAACUGGGCGUUAAGUUGCAGGGUAUAGACCCGAAACCCGGUGAUCUAGCCAUGGGCAGGUUGAAGGUUGGGUAACACUAACUGGAGGACCGAACCGACUAAUGUUGAAAAAUUAGCGGAUGACUUGUGGCUGGGGGUGAAAGGCCAAUCAAACCGGGAGAUAGCUGGUUCUCCCCGAAAGCUAUUUAGGUAGCGCCUCGUGAAUUCAUCUCCGGGGGUAGAGCACUGUUUCGGCAAGGGGGUCAUCCCGACUUACCAACCCGAUGCAAACUGCGAAUACCGGAGAAUGUUAUCACGGGAGACACACGGCGGGUGCUAACGUCCGUCGUGAAGAGGGAAACAACCCAGACCGCCAGCUAAGGUCCCAAAGUCAUGGUUAAGUGGGAAACGAUGUGGGAAGGCCCAGACAGCCAGGAUGUUGGCUUAGAAGCAGCCAUCAUUUAAAGAAAGCGUAAUAGCUCACUGGUCGAGUCGGCCUGCGCGGAAGAUGUAACGGGGCUAAACCAUGCACCGAAGCUGCGGCAGCGACGCUUAUGCGUUGUUGGGUAGGGGAGCGUUCUGUAAGCCUGUGAAGGUGUGCUGUGAGGCAUGCUGGAGGUAUCAGAAGUGCGAAUGCUGACAUAAGUAACGAUAAAGCGGGUGAAAAGCCCGCUCGCCGGAAGACCAAGGGUUCCUGUCCAACGUUAAUCGGGGCAGGGUGAGUCGACCCCUAAGGCGAGGCCGAAAGGCGUAGUCGAUGGGAAACAGGUUAAUAUUCCUGUACUUGGUGUUACUGCGAAGGGGGGACGGAGAAGGCUAUGUUGGCCGGGCGACGGUUGUCCCGGUUUAAGCGUGUAGGCUGGUUUUCCAGGCAAAUCCGGAAAAUCAAGGCUGAGGCGUGAUGACGAGGCACUACGGUGCUGAAGCAACAAAUGCCCUGCUUCCAGGAAAAGCCUCUAAGCAUCAGGUAACAUCAAAUCGUACCCCAAACCGACACAGGUGGUCAGGUAGAGAAUACCAAGGCGCUUGAGAGAACUCGGGUGAAGGAACUAGGCAAAAUGGUGCCGUAACUUCGGGAGAAGGCACGCUGAUAUGUAGGUGAGGUCCCUCGCGGAUGGAGCUGAAAUCAGUCGAAGAUACCAGCUGGCUGCAACUGUUUAUUAAAAACACAGCACUGUGCAAACACGAAAGUGGACGUAUACGGUGUGACGCCUGCCCGGUGCCGGAAGGUUAAUUGAUGGGGUCAGCGCAAGCGAAGCUCUUGAUCGAAGCCCCGGUAAACGGCGGCCGUAACUAUAACGGUCCUAAGGUAGCGAAAUUCCUUGUCGGGUAAGUUCCGACCUGCACGAAUGGCGUAAUGAUGGCCAGGCUGUCUCCACCCGAGACUCAGUGAAAUUGAACUCGCUGUGAAGAUGCAGUGUACCCGCGGCAAGACGGAAAGACCCCGUGAACCUUUACUAUAGCUUGACACUGAACAUUGAGCCUUGAUGUGUAGGAUAGGUGGGAGGCUUUGAAGUGUGGACGCCAGUCUGCAUGGAGCCGACCUUGAAAUACCACCCUUUAAUGUUUGAUGUUCUAACGUUGACCCGUGAUCCGGGUUGCGGACAGUGUCUGGUGGGUAGUUUGACUGGGGCGGUCUCCUCCUAAAGAGUAACGGAGGAGCACGAAGGUUGGCUAAUCCUGGUCGGACAUCAGGAGGUUAGUGCAAUGGCAUAAGCCAGCUUGACUGCGAGCGUGACGGCGCGAGCAGGUGCGAAAGCAGGUCAUAGUGAUCCGGUGGUUCUGAAUGGAAGGGCCAUCGCUCAACGGAUAAAAGGUACUCCGGGGAUAACAGGCUGAUACCGCCCAAGAGUUCAUAUCGACGGCGGUGUUUGGCACCUCGAUGUCGGCUCAUCACAUCCUGGGGCUGAAGUAGGUCCCAAGGGUAUGGCUGUUCGCCAUUUAAAGUGGUACGCGAGCUGGGUUUAGAACGUCGUGAGACAGUUCGGUCCCUAUCUGCCGUGGGCGCUGGAGAACUGAGGGGGGCUGCUCCUAGUACGAGAGGACCGGAGUGGACGCAUCACUGGUGUUCGGGUUGUCAUGCCAAUGGCACUGCCCGGUAGCUAAAUGCGGAAGAGAUAAGUGCUGAAAGCAUCUAAGCACGAAACUUGCCCCGAGAUGAGUUCUCCCUGACCCUUUAAGGGUCCUGAAGGAACGUUGAAGACGACGACGUUGAUAGGCCGGGUGUGUAAGCGCAGCGAUGCGUUGAGCUAACCGGUACUAAUGAACCGUGAGGCUUAACCUUACAACGCCGAAG